RNAcentral lists this ribosomal RNA (254 nucleotides) under uncultured bacterium. RNAcentral's name for it is "partial 16S ribosomal RNA". It matches the Rfam family "Bacterial small subunit ribosomal RNA", at positions 524 to 776 of the family's 1533-position model. The record is from RNAcentral.
CACGUAGGGGGCGAGCGUUGUCCGGAUUUAUUGGGCGUAAAGAGCUCGUAGGCGGCUCGGUAAGUCGGGUGUGAAACCUCCAGGCUCAACCUGGAGACGCCACCUGAUACUGCUGUGGCUAGAGUCCGGUAGGGGAGUGUGGAACUCCUGGUGUAGCGGUGAAAUGCGUAGAUACCAGGAGGAACACCGGUGGCGAAAGCGGUUUCCUGGCCGAGUACUGACGCUGAGGCACGAAAGCGUGGGGAGCGAACGGG